RNAcentral lists this ribosomal RNA (500 nucleotides) under uncultured Gammaproteobacteria bacterium. RNAcentral describes it as "bacterial SSU rRNA". It matches the Rfam family "Bacterial small subunit ribosomal RNA", at positions 72 to 568 of the family's 1533-position model. The record is from RNAcentral. Lineage: Bacteria; Pseudomonadati; Pseudomonadota; Gammaproteobacteria.
AAGGGAGCUUGCUCCCUGAUUCAGCGGCGGACGGGUGAGUAAUGCCUAGGAAUCUGCCUGGUAGUGGGGGACAACAUCUCGAAAGGGACGCUAAUACCGCAUACGUCCUACGGGAGAAAGUGGGGGAUCUUCGGACCUCACGCUAUCAGAUGAGCCUAGGUCGGAUUAGCUAGUUGGUGAGGUAAUGGCUCACCAAGGCGACGAUCCGUAACUGGUCUGAGAGGAUGAUCAGUCACACUGGAACUGAGACACGGUCCAGACUCCUACGGGAGGCAGCAGUGGGGAAUAUUGGACAAUGGGCGAAAGCCUGAUCCAGCCAUGCCGCGUGUGUGAAGAAGGUCUUCGGAUUGUAAAGCACUUUAAGUUGGGAGGAAGGGCAUUAACCUAAUACGUUAGUGUUUUGACGUUACCGACAGAAUAAGCACCGGCUAACUCUGUGCCAGCAGCCGCGGUAAUACAGAGGGUGCAAGCGUUAAUCGGAAUUACUUGGCGUAAAGCGC